UUAUCCAGUUUAUAGAGUUGGAUUUAUUAUCUUCAAUGCAUUAUCUAAUAAAUAGUUACAAUCAUUUCCAUCUAUAUAGCUCAUUCUUAGGUGGGAGUUGUGUGGCAGUUAUGAGCUAAACUUACAUAAAAUGUGUUUUUUUUUACAUUAUGAAUAAUGUUCUUCCCUACAAGCCUUAAUUUUCCCAGCCCUGUGUAGCUUUCCAUGUUAAGAGUACAUUCAUAUGUAUUCAAUCACUGAAAAAAUCCCGAAGUAUGUGAGUUAUGUAUAUGUAAACGAGCUAUGCAUUUGCAUUCGGCCUGAGAUUUCAUGGGUUGGACGGCAUUCAUACUUGCACCAGUGAUGAAUGCAUAAAUCUACCGCACUGGGCACAUAGCUAUAGUAAUAAAUCCCAUCCCGCCGAACCCUGAGUUAUUCUCGAGCAGAGGGUGAUAACAUCUAUCCUUUAGCCGCUGAAAUGCUUCAGCUGUGAAAAGCGAAAUGCGAUAGACGACGCGAUGCAAUCGAUCUCUGCGAUAUUUGAAGGGUGGGAAGCCUGUUGGGUAAAGGGGGAGGGAAUUUUCUCCUUUAAUGGGGUAUGACAUUAAAAUGCACAGCGGUAAUAAUAUUUUACCAUUUGACUGCCAAACAGUAUAUUCCGAGGGACGAAAAUCUAGUGAAAUUUCAUCGAAGCAAAUUAUGCUAACAUGCUAAAAAUACUUCCGACUGGUGCUUGUGCAAAAAAAGCAUGUCAAAUUAUACAAGCAGAACUAAAUAAAUAUAAUUUACAUGCACAAGGAGGUGUAAAAAUAUGCACUACUUUUAAAAGCAUCUAUUUACAACAGUAAUAUUCCAGCUAACACAUUUUAGCCCCUAAAAACUGCAUAUUAAUGCUGUUCUAGAAAUGUCUUCUGUGACAGUGGAAUGAAAAUAAUUAGUUAUGAUUACCCCGUGUCACCAGAUAACAAUGAUCCACAAUGUGAGUUUUGUUUUCAAGAAAAUAUAUUGUCAUCCAAAAAUCGCAGGAUCAUCUUUCCUUGGCUAGUUCCAAGGAAAAGAUCAGUCGGCCCAUUUUGUGCGACACGACAGGUUGGUUCUGGAAACUAGACACUGGGUAGGUAUUUGCAGGGAAGAAUAGAGGGAUUGUUGGGGUUGUUGCCGUCUGGUUUCAGAGUACAGAAUCUCGUUAACCUUUCGAUUCUGGCACAGGGCAGGCUGGCAGCGGGACAGGUUGGCACCUGCUGCUGAUGUGCCAAGCUAAAGGCCCCCUGACAGCGUCGGUCCAGCCCCGGACCCUUAACCACCAUCGCUGCCUUACCUGAAACCCCAGGAGGCAGGAAGGUGACAACCGGGCCAUCCAUGUGACAAGGGGGCGGCGGUCCCUCCCAGUCUCAGCACUGCAGGAAUAGACCAGUGGUACUCCGCUCCAGAGCUCUAACUCGUUGUUCCCGCCUGUCUCCUUUCAUUAUCCCGGAUCAGCUCAACCUCCCGGAACUCAGAGCUGGGUCAUUAACUGGAAACUUUAUGCAUACUUUUUGGAUAGUGAGAGUUUAGGUCCUGGAACGCUGAACAAGGCUCAUAAAUCAAAAUUUAAUUUCUAGUCAUGUCCCAUUGGAUCCAUCGGUAAAGCGAAAUUACUCACAUUCUCGAUAAUAAUCUCUGUAAAAAAAGCCUUCGAUUCCUUUUGCGGCCCCAGUGGACAUGCUUGUCUGAUAUCUUCCACCACUUUUUUGGGCUAUAAUUGUGAAUAAAAAACAAUUCGUCCUUGGA
Non-coding RNA from Paramormyrops kingsleyae, 1749 nucleotides. The record is from RefSeq and is a predicted model, not a curated record. Lineage: Eukaryota; Metazoa; Chordata; Actinopteri; Osteoglossiformes; Mormyridae.